UUCCUGGUGGCUCAGUGGCAGAGAAUCUGCCUGCCAAUGCAGCAGACACAGGUUCAAUCCCUGGUCUGGGAUA
Molecule: non-coding RNA, 73 nt
Organism: Bos taurus (domestic cattle)
Lineage: Eukaryota; Metazoa; Chordata; Mammalia; Artiodactyla; Bovidae
Source: Rfam